GAGUUUGAUCGUGGCUCACAGCGAACGUUAGCGGCACGCCUAACACAUGCAAGUCGCACGAGAAAGGGAGCAAUCCUGAGUAGAGUGGCGCACGGGUGCGUAACACGUAGAUAACCUGCCCUUUGGAGGGGGAUAACGUUCCGAAAGGAGCGCUAAUACCGCAUACAGCAAGAGCCGGUUUGCCGGUUUUUGGCAAAGGUAGGGACCCGCAAGGGCCUACCGCCAGAGGAGGGGUCUGCGGCCCAUCAGCUAGUUGGUGAGGUAAUGGCUCACCAAGGCAGAGACGGGUAGCUGGUCUGAGAGGAUGAUCAGCCACACUGGUACUGGAACACGGACCAGACUCCUACGGGAGGCAGCAGUGGGGGAAUCUUGGUCAAUGGGCGCAAGCCUGAACCAGCGAUGCCGCGUGAGUGAUGAAGGCCUCGGUUGUAAG
Molecule: ribosomal RNA, 433 nt
Filed under: uncultured bacterium
Lineage: Bacteria
Description: bacterial SSU rRNA
Rfam family: Bacterial small subunit ribosomal RNA
Source: RNAcentral